AGAGCAUAUUAUUUAUUUAUUCAGCCAGCCACACUCAUUUUUAAAGAGCUAACUUCCAUUUUGUUUCUGACACCAAAAAUAAAUCAAACUAAAAACUGUAUACAUCAUAACUGAAAAAAAAAUACAUAUUUGCAUGGUAUGUCGCCCCUGUGAAGCCUCAGCUGCGACCUGCAAAAGGAAUUUUUGUGUAAAAAAAAAAAAAGAGAGAGAGAGAUGAAUUCAUUCUGCACUGGCCUUCCCUGAGGGUACAGAUAGGAUCGAAAAGACAAAAAUAAGGUUUUAAUUCACUAGUGAUUUUCCCACCCCGUCUCAAGCUUCUUUUUGAUUCUUAGCAUCCAUUUUCCUGGGUCGUCUUGGGAGGGUUGCAAGAUUUCAAUCCAUUAACACAGUAGUAGGUUGGUGAAAUUUCAGAACAGGCUGAGAUGAACAGCCACAAUGAGGACACAGCUGCCCUGGGGCUCCCGGCAGAGAACUCAGCCUAUGAUUCAGCUCCUAGCCCAUGAUCUGGCGCCCUAAGGGAGGGGAUCUCUUUGAAGAGCCCUCUUUUCUCUCCUCUACUUCCCCGACUUGGGAGAAAUCCAGUCUUGCCCCCUAGUCCAUAUCAGCUCUCUGAUUUUGGAGCAGCUCCUUGGCACUAAAUAUACCUGCACCAUUGACUGUCUUCCACCCUCCCUCCCCUCCUCACCCCGCCCCGCCCCCCACGCACCUCCUCAUUCCCUCCCCAGCAAGCGCUUUUGGCGUACUACAGGUAUCUUCCCAAGCUACCCCAAGGUUGAUUCUAGGACAGUGGCUCUCAAACUUAAGUCUGCAUCUAAACUACGUGGACAAAGUGCUACACGGUUCUCGGUCAGUAAGUCUCGGGUAUGAGCUGGGGAUUUGCAUUCCUGUUAAGUUUAAUACUGAGACAAGUGCUUGGAGAACCUGUUUUCUGGGAUGAGGCAAAGGGAGGGGAUACCCGUAGUAGCUUGUGCUGUGGUGCCAUCUAGUGGACAUAGACCACAAUAGCAGCAGUCUGCCCUGUGGAGUGCACAAGACUUCAUUCCACUCCUUUAAACACUUCAAAAACCAUUCUCUUUUACGACUCUACUUCUUAAGGUGGGCCUUUUACUGUUUAAAUGCUCUCUUUCCACCCUCUGAAUAAGACCAUUACAAACUAUGCCCUGCCGAAUAUGGAUGAAAUGAAACAGGAAACUGGGUGUUUUGAAACGAAACUGCACACCCUGAUUUUGAUAACUGUCCCCCAGAUACAUCUGACCUAAGGCACAACACUGCACACAUGGCAGACAGCAGGCCAUCACCCAGAUCACACAAUAAUUAGCUCUAACCCCAAACCAGGACCCAAGGAUUCCAUGUUGUCUCAACCCAGGGGGAAGCACACCACUUUAGAAGUAACUGGACAACCCUGAGGACGUGGCUGUUGGGGAGAACUUAUCAGAGCACACUCGGAACCCUAGGUUCUCUCUCCAGCAUGACCUGAACUGGAUAUAGUGGUCACACCUGUAAUCCCAGCCUGGCAGUUGGGAGAUCGAAAUGGGAAGGUUGAAAGCUCAAAGUCAACCAGGGGGUGCUGACGGACAACUUUAAUUCCAGCACCAGGGGAGCAGAGGCAGGUGGACCUCUGUGAGUUUGAGGCUAGCCUGGUCUACAGAGCAAGUUCCAGGAUACACAGAAAAACCUUGUCUC
This 1683-nucleotide long non-coding RNA is filed under the name Mus musculus (house mouse). RNAcentral's name for it is "long non-coding RNA chr11:88822256-88823939". Lineage: Eukaryota; Metazoa; Chordata; Mammalia; Rodentia; Muridae. The record is from RNAcentral.